This 460-nucleotide ribosomal RNA is filed under the name uncultured bacterium. RNAcentral describes it as "partial 16S ribosomal RNA". It matches the Rfam family "Bacterial small subunit ribosomal RNA", at positions 338 to 795 of the family's 1533-position model. The record is from RNAcentral.
CCUACGGGAGGCAGCAGUGAGGAAUAUUGGUCAAUGGACGCAAGUCUGAACCAGCCAUGCCGCGUGCAGGAAGACGGCUCUAUGAGUUGUAAACUGCUUUUGUACGAGGGUAAACGCAGAUACGCGUAUCUGUCUGAAAGUAUCGUACGAAUAAGGAUCGGCUAACUCCGUGCCAGCAGCCGCGGUAAUACGGAGGAUUCAAGCGUUAUCCGGAUUUAUUGGGGUUAAAGGGUGCGUAGGCGGUCGGAUAAGUUAGAGGUGAAAUCCCGAGGCUCAACUUCGGAAUUGCCUGUGAUACUGUUCGGCGAGAGAGUAGUUGCGGUAGGCGGAAUGUAUGGUGUAGCGGUGAAAUGCUUAGAGAUCAUACAGAACACCGGUUGCGAAGGCAGCUUACCAGGCUACUUCUGACGUUGAGGCACGAAAGCGUGGGGAGCAAACAGGAUUAGAUACCCUAGUAGUC